GACGUAGGAAGCAAGCGUUGUCCGGAAUUACUGGGCGUAAAGAGCUCGUAGGCGGGACCGUAAGUCCGAGAGGAAAUCUCAAGGCUCAACUUUGGGGCUUUCUUGGAUACUGCGGUUCUUGAGGAUGAGAGAGGUAAGUAGAAUUCCUGGUGUAGCGGUGUAAUGCGCAGAUAUCAGGAAGAACACCCGUGGCUAAGGCGGCUCUCUAGUACGGUACUGACGCUGAGACGCGAAAGCGUGGGGAGCGAACAGG
RNAcentral lists this ribosomal RNA (253 nucleotides) under uncultured bacterium. Its description in RNAcentral is "partial 16S ribosomal RNA". It matches the Rfam family "Bacterial small subunit ribosomal RNA", at positions 524 to 776 of the family's 1533-position model. The record is from RNAcentral.